Molecule: non-coding RNA, 105 nt
Filed under: Halobacillus halophilus
Lineage: Bacteria; Bacillati; Bacillota; Bacilli; Caryophanales; Bacillaceae
Also listed under: 1 other name
Description: SAM-I sequence
Rfam family: SAM riboswitch aptamer (S box leader)
About the family: The SAM riboswitch is found upstream of a number of genes which code for proteins involved in methionine or cysteine biosynthesis in Gram-positive bacteria. The SAM riboswitch acts at the level of transcription termination control. The predicted structure consists of a complex stem-loop region followed by a single stem loop terminator region.
Source: RNAcentral
UCCUUAUAAAGAGCCGGGGAAGGAAUCUGGUCCGUUGAUCCCGCAGCAACCUCUCCUAGUUGGAGAAGGUGCUCAUUCCAGCAGACAUUGUCUGAGAGAUAAGGU